This 484-nucleotide small RNA is filed under the name Pongo abelii (Sumatran orangutan). Its description in RNAcentral is "processed transcript". Lineage: Eukaryota; Metazoa; Chordata; Mammalia; Primates; Hominidae. The record is from RNAcentral.
UGGAUGCAGCACUGUCCUUAUCUUCUGGCUGGCGAGUUUUUUGUUCCCAGACCAAACUGAGGGUGGGGCUGCCCAAUAAUGAGAUGCAGGUCUCAGCUGAGUCUGCUCUGAUCACCCAACAAGACCUAGUUCCCCAGCAGAGAGCGGCCCCACAACAAAAGAGGUCCAGCCCCUCAGAGGGAUUGUGUCCACCUGGACACCAUAUCUCAGAAGAUAGUAGAGACUGCAUCUCCUGCAAAUACGGACAGGACUAUAGCACUCACUGGAAUGACCUCCUUUUCUGCUUGCGCUGCACCAAGUGUGAUUCAGGUGAAGUGGAGGUAAGUCCCUGCACCACGACCAGAAACACAGUGUGUCAGUGCGAAGAAGGCACCUUCCGGGAAGAAGAUUCUCCUGAGAUGUGCCGGAAGUGCCGCACAGGGUGUCCCAGAGGGAUGGCCAAGGUCGGUGAUUGUACGCCCUGGAGUGACAUCGAAUGUGUCCA